This is a long non-coding RNA of Labeo rohita (rohu), 592 nucleotides long. RefSeq lists it as uncharacterized. NCBI's taxonomy places the organism in Eukaryota, Metazoa, Chordata, Actinopteri, Cypriniformes, Cyprinidae. The record is from RefSeq and is a predicted model, not a curated record. The transcript has 5 exons.
AUUUUUUUUUUUUUGUGGGUAAGCCCGUUCGAGCAAGAAUUUAGAUGUCUUCAAAUUAGAAAUAUGUUGGGAUGGUCGAAUGAUACGAGGAUGUCGGGGAAGAAACUGGAAGUCUCGCCGGUGGAAGCGAUGUUAAGCCUCGGCGUUGUGGUGAAGGUGUGGCUAAUCGAGCGGAGCGACGGUCGCGAUGAAGCGUGGAGCUCGACAGCAGUUGCGACAAGGGGAUCUCGUGUAACGUUACUGGUCUCGUCGUUGUGCGGAAACGGAAGUCUGUAAUAUAAUGGCGAAAGGAGCAAAACCGAAUGCCUGAAAAAAACAGUCGAAUGACCGAGUGUUGAUGUCCUUCAUCUCUGGAUUCACUCAAGAUGAUAGUCCAGCUGGGAAAGCCACGUGGGAACCAGUGAGCACAGGAAAGUUCGACAACGGGGGGGGGAAGCAUGAAGUCAGGAGCUGUUGUCAGGGUAGUGAACGGGAGACCCGACAAGAGGGAACUGGAUUUGUUCCUGAGGAAUUUCCUUUGUCUCCUCCACAGUAGCAGAAAGUGACAGAUGUGUUUUUGGAGAAGAAGAAGAAGAAAAAAAAAAAAAAAAAA